GGGCGGGAAAGAGAGGGCGCGGGAGAGAUCACGUGGCUCUUGGGUUUUGUGAUGCUCUGUGCUUGUUAUUCUUGGGUUAAAAAAAAAAGUCCAGUCUCAAAAAGUCGCGAGCCGUAAGACUUGCCACUUCGUGCGCAUAAUAGGUUGAGGCGGAGGCUCCAGAGUUCAACAGCUCUGUUCCUCUAUUCGACGCGGCUAGACUAGACCAAACGGAACUGGGGCGUGUCAGUAUUCAAUAUGGCCAAAGACAGUAGGAAGACCUGUUCCAAGCAAAGAAAUAAACAAUGAUCCCUAGCGUCUGGAAUAUUUCAAAUAUUUAUUUGUAUUAAAUUAUAUUUACAUAUACUUUUUCUAUUAAAAAUAAAGCACUUCUAUAUAUAUUAUCCACUA
Molecule: long non-coding RNA, 390 nt
Organism: Crotalus tigris (Tiger rattlesnake)
Lineage: Eukaryota; Metazoa; Chordata; Lepidosauria; Squamata; Viperidae
Exons: 2
Source: RefSeq, a predicted model, not a curated record